RNAcentral lists this transfer RNA (61 nucleotides) under bovine gut metagenome. It matches the Rfam family "tRNA", at positions 6 to 60 of the family's 71-position model. From Rfam's summary of the family: Transfer RNA (tRNA) molecules are approximately 80 nucleotides in length. Their secondary structure includes four short double-helical elements and three loops (D, anti-codon, and T loops). The record is from RNAcentral.
AUCUUUAGCUCAGUUGGUUAGAGCAUCCGGCUCAUAACCGGGCGGUCGUAGGUUCGAGUCC